RNAcentral lists this ribozyme (116 nucleotides) under Aedes aegypti (yellow fever mosquito). RNAcentral's name for it is "drz-agam-1 ribozyme". It matches the Rfam family "drz-agam-1 ribozyme". The record is from Rfam by way of RNAcentral. Lineage: Eukaryota; Metazoa; Arthropoda; Insecta; Diptera; Culicidae.
UCCUUCGCAACUCCUAUACUUACCUCCUCGUGGUACUGGCCGGGGUACGAGUAACCUUAGGGAAGAUCUGGUAAUCAACCACGGUGGGAACUUUGGUCGUAUGCUAAUAGGGAAGG